Molecule: ribosomal RNA, 2930 nt
Filed under: Escherichia coli
Lineage: Bacteria; Pseudomonadati; Pseudomonadota; Gammaproteobacteria; Enterobacterales; Enterobacteriaceae
Description: bacterial LSU rRNA
Rfam family: Bacterial large subunit ribosomal RNA
Source: RNAcentral
GGGUUGUGAGGUUAAGCGACUAAGCGUACACGGUGGAUGCCCUGGCAGUCAGAGGCGAUGAAGGACGUGCUAAUCUGCGAUAAGCGUCGGUAAGGUGAUAUGAACCGUUAUAACCGGCGAUUUCCGAAUGGGGAAACCCAGUGUGAUUCGUCACACUAUCAUUAACUGAAUCCAUAGGUUAAUGAGGCGAACCGGGGGAACUGAAACAUCUAAGUACCCCGAGGAAAAGAAAUCAACCGAGAUUCCCCCAGUAGCGGCGAGCGAACGGGGAGCAGCCCAGAGCCUGAAUCAGUGUGUGUGUUAGUGGAAGCGUCUGGAAAGGCGCGCGAUACAGGGUGACAGCCCCGUACACAAAAAUGCACAUACUGUGAGCUCGAUGAGUAGGGCGGGACACGUGGUAUCCUGUCUGAAUAUGGGGGGACCAUCCUCCAAGGCUAAAUACUCCUGACUGACCGAUAGUGAACCAGUACCGUGAGGGAAAGGCGAAAAGAACCCCGGCGAGGGGAGUGAAAAAGAACCUGAAACCGUGUACGUACAAGCAGUGGGAGCACGCUUAGGCGUGUGACUGCGUACCUUUUGUAUAAUGGGUCAGCGACUUAUAUUCUGUAGCAAGGUUAACCGAAUAGGGGAGCCGAAGGGAAACCGAGUCUUAACUGGGCGUUAAGUUGCAGGGUAUAGACCCGAAACCCGGUGAUCUAGCCAUGGGCAGGUUGAAGGUUGGGUAACACUAACUGGAGGACCGAACCGACUAAUGUUGAAAAAUUAGCGGAUGACUUGUGGCUGGGGGUGAAAGGCCAAUCAAACCGGGAGAUAGCUGGUUCUCCCCGAAAGCUAUUUAGGUAGCGCCUCGUGAAUUCAUCUCCGGGGGUAGAGCACUGUUUCGGCAAGGGGGUCAUCCCGACUUACCAACCCGAUGCAAACUGCGAAUACCGGAGAAUGUUAUCACGGGAGACACACGGCGGGUGCUAACGUCCGUCGUGAAGAGGGAAACAACCCAGACCGCCAGCUAAGGUCCCAAAGUCAUGGUUAAGUGGGAAACGAUGUGGGAAGGCCCAGACAGCCAGGAUGUUGGCUUAGAAGCAGCCAUCAUUUAAAGAAAGCGUAAUAGCUCACUGGUCGAGUCGGCCUGCGCGGAAGAUGUAACGGGGCUAAACCAUGCACCGAAGCUGCGGCAGCGACACUAUGUGUUGUUGGGUAGGGGAGCGUUCUGUAAGCCUGCGAAGGUGUGCUGUGAGGCAUGCUGGAGGUAUCAGAAGUGCGAAUGCUGACAUAAGUAACGAUAAAGCGGGUGAAAAGCCCGCUCGCCGGAAGACCAAGGGUUCCUGUCCAACGUUAAUCGGGGCAGGGUGAGUCGACCCCUAAGGCGAGGCCGAAAGGCGUAGUCGAUGGGAAACAGGUUAAUAUUCCUGUACUUGGUGUUACUGCGAAGGGGGGACGGAGAAGGCUAUGUUGGCCGGGCGACGGUUGUCCCGGUUUAAGCGUGUAGGCUGGUUUUCCAGGCAAAUCCGGAAAAUCAAGGCUGAGGCGUGAUGACGAGGCACUACGGUGCUGAAGCAACAAAUGCCCUGCUUCCAGGAAAAGCCUCUAAGCAUCAGGUAACAUCAAAUCGUACCCCAAACCGACACAGGUGGUCAGGUAGAGAAUACCAAGGCGCUUGAGAGAACUCGGGUGAAGGAACUAGGCAAAAUGGUGCCGUAACUUCGGGAGAAGGCACGCUGAUAUGUAGGUGAAGUCCCUCGCGGAUGGAGCUGAAAUCAGUCGAAGAUACCAGCUGGCUGCAACUGUUUAUUAAAAACACAGCACUGUGCAAACACGAAAGUGGACGUAUACGGUGUGACGCCUGCCCGGUGCCGGAAGGUUAAUUGAUGGGGUUAGCGCAAGCGAAGCUCUUGAUCGAAGCCCCGGUAAACGGCGGCCGUAACUAUAACGGUCCUAAGGUAGCGAAAUUCCUUGUCGGGUAAGUUCCGACCUGCACGAAUGGCGUAAUGAUGGCCAGGCUGUCUCCACCCGAGACUCAGUGAAAUUGAACUCGCUGUGAAGAUGCAGUGUACCCGCGGCAAGACGGAAAGACCCCGUGAACCUUUACUAUAGCUUGACACUGAACAUUGAGCCUUGAUGUGUAGGAUAGGUGGGAGGCUUGGAAGUGUGGACGCCAGUCUGCAUGGAGCCGACCUUGAAAUACCACCCUUUAAUGUUUGAUGUUCUAACGUUGACCCGUAAUCCGGGUUGCGGACAGUGUCUGGUGGGUAGUUUGACUGGGGCGGUCUCCUCCUAAAGAGUAACGGAGGAGCACGAAGGUUGGCUAAUCCUGGUCGGACAUCAGGAGGUUAGUGCAAUGGCAUAAGCCAGCUUGACUGCGAGCGUGACGGCGCGAGCAGGUGCGAAAGCAGGUCAUAGUGAUCCGGUGGUUCUGAAUGGAAGGGCCAUCGCUCAACGGAUAAAAGGUACUCCGGGGAUAACAGGCUGAUACCGCCCAAGAGUUCAUAUCGACGGCGGUGUUUGGCACCUCGAUGUCGGCUCAUCACAUCCUGGGGCUGAAGUAGGUCCCAAGGGUAUGGCUGUUCGCCAUUUAAAGUGGUACGCGAGCUGGGUUUAGAACGUCGUGAGACAGUUCGGUCCCUAUCUGCCGUGGGCGCUGGAGAACUGAGGGGGGCUGCUCCUAGUACGAGAGGACCGGAGUGGACGCAUCACUGGUGUUCGGGUUGUCAUGCCAAUGGCACUGCCCGGUAGCUAAAUGCGGAAGAGAUAAGUGCUGAAAGCAUCUAAGCACGAAACUUGCCCCGAGAUGAGUUCUCCCUGACUCCUUGAGAGUCCUGAAGGAACGUUGAAGACGACGACGUUGAUAGGCCGGGUGUGUAAGCGCAGCGAUGCGUUGAGCUAACCGGUACUAAUGAACCGUGAGGCUUAACCUUACAACGCCGAAGGUGUUU